Molecule: RNA transcript, 1581 nt
Organism: Cucumis sativus (cucumber)
Lineage: Eukaryota; Viridiplantae; Streptophyta; Magnoliopsida; Cucurbitales; Cucurbitaceae
Gene name: protein phosphatase 1 regulatory inhibitor subunit PPP1R7 homolog
Exons: 9
Source: RefSeq, a predicted model, not a curated record
AUCAAUUCCCUUUCUUGAACGCAAAUUAAGAAUUUCGAUUUCCCAAUCAAUCAAGCGCAAAGCAGAAGCUCCAUUUCUCCGCAAAACAAGCUUCAGCUUCAAGAUUCUUUGCCGUCUACGUCUCAAGGUUUCGCAUGGCCGCCGUAAGCGAACCAUCGCCAGUUUCGGAAUCGAAGGAGGAUGAUCUCAAUUCUACGUUUCUUGAUCUCACCAGCUUUCAGCUCCAUGACCUCGACUCUAUCGAGUUGCCUUCGAGUUUAACGGAAUUGGACCUGACCGCAAAUCGACUUACGAAUUUGGACCCUCGGAUUGGAGAGCUCUCGAACCUGAAGAAGCUCUCUCUUCGUCAGAAUCUCAUCAAUAAUGCUGCUGUUGAAUCGCUAUCUCACUGGAACGCACUGUCAGGUCUCGAGGAACUUAUUCUCAGAGACAAUCAAAUGACGAAGAUACCUGAUGCGAGCAUAUUCAAGAGGCUUUUAGUAUUUGAUGUUUCUUUCAACGAAAUCACUUCGUUACAUGGCUUAUCGAAGGUCUCCAAUACACUGAAGGAACUUUAUGUAUCUAAGAAUGAAGUUACUAAAAUGGAAGAGCUAGAUCACUUCCUUCAGUUGCAGAUUCUUGAGCUUGGUUCCAAUAGACUGCGGGUAAUGGAGAAUAUGGAAAACUUAACCAAUUUACAAGAGCUAUGGUUAGGGCGUAACCGAAUUAAGGCAGUAAACCUUUGUGGACUGAAAUGUCUCAAGAAAAUUAGUCUGCAAAGCAACCGUUUGACUUCAAUGACAGGAUUUGAGGACUGUGUUGCUUUGGAAGAACUGUAUCUAAGCCAUAAUGGAAUUUCAAAAAUUGAAGGUGUUUCAACCUUAGUCAAUCUUCGGAUAUUGGAUGUCUCUUCAAAUAAGCUAACGAGUGUGAGUGACGUUCAAAAUCUGACAUGUUUAGAAGAUUUAUGGCUUAACGACAACCAAAUUGAAUCACUUGAAACGAUCGCUGAGGAUGUUGCUGGUUCGAGAGAGAAACUGACAACCAUAUACCUUGAGAACAAUCCAUGUGCGAAGACUUCAAAUUAUUGUGCCAGACUAAAAGAGAUCUUUCCAAACAUUCAGCAAAUUGAUUCAGAGAUCUUUACGAAGUUAUGAGAGCAAAAUGCAGGUUCUCGUGGACAGUCACAAUAUACAAGUUCAGCAGGUAAAUUAUGGAUAAACUCGAUGAUGUUUCAUGUUAGGAGAGAGGGAGAUAACAAGAUUAAGGAGGCUUUAUCUGCUUGUUGACUUCUGCCCCACUCCCUAUUUAAAGGAAAACAGGAGCAGCAGCAGUAAAACCAAGGGCAGAACCGAACAAGUGUUCUACGAAUGCUGUCGAAUGUGACAAUGCAAACCUACCUUGGUCUUGCUCUUGCUCAGGUAUGGUCGAAUGGGAAUACCUGGCUGGAUCUUCGCCGUUGAUCUCCUGGUUUAUUAAUUUUAUAACUUUGUGAUGGGUGGGUGGGUUGUAACAAAUCAUCCAUCGUUUCUUUGCUUCGUUACUUUGCUAAAAACAAAAGGUUUUGGUCAAUAAAGAGCAAUACAAACAGAAAAAAGAUCA